GGGGUUUUAGCUCAGUGGCAUAAGUGCCUGCCUUGAAAGCAGGCAGUCUUGAGUUCGAUCCCCGGUACCGCUA
Molecule: transfer RNA, 73 nt
Organism: Cavia porcellus (domestic guinea pig)
Lineage: Eukaryota; Metazoa; Chordata; Mammalia; Rodentia; Caviidae
Rfam family: tRNA
About the family: Transfer RNA (tRNA) molecules are approximately 80 nucleotides in length. Their secondary structure includes four short double-helical elements and three loops (D, anti-codon, and T loops).
Source: Rfam